Molecule: long non-coding RNA, 1815 nt
Filed under: Fragaria vesca (wild strawberry)
Lineage: Eukaryota; Viridiplantae; Streptophyta; Magnoliopsida; Rosales; Rosaceae
Description: long non-coding RNA (FVES_LNC002917)
Source: RNAcentral
CACCGCCGCCGCCGCCGCGACACACACACACACACACACUACCACUAUGGGACCAUAAGAGCAAGUCCACCCUCUUGGCCUUCGUUAGGAAGACCUGGGUAAUGGGUGAGACCUGGGUCGCCACGUAGUAGUGAUUUUAGGCUGAAAUUUCUACCGAUUUAUGUUUCUGGGUUGCCACCACUACAGGAAAUAUCAAAUUACCAAUAAUUCCGCACCGACGGAAGAGGAACCGUCGUUUAGGAUACCACAUCCGUCGUCUAAGAUAUCCUAGGCGACAGAAAAUAACCGUACACGUCUUCCGUCGACUAGGAUUUUCAUACAUGACGAAACACCAUUCGUCGUCCAGGUUCCGUCGUCUAAGAUAUCCUAAGCGACGACUAUCUUCCGUUGGUAUGGUUUUGUCGUCUAAGAUUUUCUAGGGCGACGAAUAUUGUUCCGUCGGUAUAUCUCUCUUAGAUGACGAACAAUUUUCCGUCGUCCUAAAUUGUCAUGGGCGACGAAGGCAUUUCCGUCGGUUAGGAUGUACUCGGGAGACGAAUUUUCUUUUCUUAAGCGACGAACUGUUCUGUCGCCUAGGAUUUUGAAUUAUUGCCUGACACAAAGCAGAACGAAUAUUUUUUCUGAAGCCUUUUCUCUUAGGCGAUGGAAUAUUUCGUCGCCUAGGAUUUUGAAUUAUUGCCUGACACAAAGCAUAACGAAUAUUUUUCCGAAACCUUUUCUCUUAGGCGACGGUAUAUUCCGUCGGCUAAGUUUUCACAUCAUCCAUUUAUACACCUUUCCCCCAGAAGAGAACGCAGAAAAAAGACAUGGUCUAGCUCCCCCCCCCUCAUGGGAAUAUUCAUCCGAUCCAAAUCUAGUUUUGGAAGCUUUUUUUCAUGAAGUUGAUCGAUCUUGAAGAGCUGCAUGCCUCGGUCUCGAUCUCUUAGCUAAUUGGUAUAUAUGUAACUACUUUAAUUAAUAUAUCUACUUUCUUCUUUUAGGCAUAUUUUAUGCGAACUUUCGGCGACUUGCCGGUCCAAUUUUGAUGGAUUGUUACUUACUUAUAUGCUUAAUUUAAUUACUGGAUAUGUGUGUAUAAUAUGUUUGUACGUACGUAUUGAUAAGACGUAUUUGCACACACAUCAAUUAACCCUGUCAACAAAUCAAUCGUAGUAUAAAGCAAGCAGGGAUCGUUCUAAACCGGGGAUCCAACUACAGGGUAGAUCCAUCUAAUCUAAUGUAAGUAUCGAAAUAAGCAUAUAGGUUUAAAGGUUUUAUGAUUUCGGAACAAUAUUAAUAAUAAAUCUUAAAUUACUUCUAUACAUAUAUACAUGUGAUCAACCAACAUUCAUGCAAACUUAACCAAACAACCAUGUAAGAAUAAAGAAGACAAUCUCUAAUCUCAUUUAAGUCUACACCGUGAGCAAUUAUACAACCUAAAUUUGAUAUGCACAUAAGUUCCUACGUGGUUCCUAUGACAUAGACCAACUUAGAAUUAGACUACGGGUUUCAUUCAACAUCGCGACACAACAAGCUCGGCUACAUGCUCUACUUAUUGGUCACACACAUAAACUAAUCAUGUAAUUACGUAUCACAUAAAGAAUUUGAUGUGUUUAAGCACAAGUCCAAAUCAAACAUAGGUAGAAAAUCGGUGAAAAACAAAGACAAUGCAACUUAUCAACUACGUGUAUCAAAAUCGAACUUUGGAUGAUUAACACAUGCAAUAUCAACUACUUGUAUCAACUACACAUGAUAAUGGAAUAUAGCACCGAAAAUCUUAAAGUAUUUAGACAUAAAACUCACGGCAUAAAACCUCAAAUCAUUGAUUAUAAAUUG